RNAcentral lists this ribosomal RNA (253 nucleotides) under uncultured bacterium. RNAcentral describes it as "partial 16S ribosomal RNA". It matches the Rfam family "Bacterial small subunit ribosomal RNA", at positions 524 to 776 of the family's 1533-position model. The record is from RNAcentral.
UACGUAGGGUGCGAGCGUUAAUCGGAAUUACUGGGCGUAAAGCGUGCGCAGGCGGAUUGUUAAGCAAGAUGUGAAAUCCCCGGGCUUAACCUGGGAAUGGCAUUUUGAACUGGCAAUCUAGAGUUUGAGAGAGGGAAGUGGAAUUCCACAUGUAGCGGUGAAAUACGUAGAUAUGUGGAGGAACAUCAGUGGCGAAGGCGGCUUCCUGGCUUAAAACUGACACUGUGGCGCGAAAGCGUGGGUAGCAAACAGG